AAUUCUCAACCUUAUUAGCUUUUGUUGAUAAUGGAUUGGAUGUGGGGGUUUAUUUGCUGGCUUCUUCACAGAGAUCAGCUCCCCUUAAAUGCAUUAGCUGGUGCCCCGCGUGGACCAUCUAUUGGUGUGAUAAUUAUCUACGCCGUGGAUGUCUGCAAUCAUAUGGGUUUUGCACUGCUUCUAACUGUCUGUUCAUUCGGACAAUACAUGACA
RNAcentral lists this unclassified non-coding RNA (213 nucleotides) under Alnicola pallidifolia. RNAcentral describes it as "partial internal transcribed spacer 2". The record is from RNAcentral. Lineage: Eukaryota; Fungi; Basidiomycota; Agaricomycetes; Agaricales; Hymenogastraceae.